CUAAACAAAAGGGUCAAAACAAAAAAAGAAAAACACAAAAGGGCGAGCCUGGAACACACACACACGGAGGGCCCACACACACACUCACACUCAGUUAAAGCUGACUUUCUACCUCCGCUCCAAAAAAGGGUCUCCGGAGCCAGAAACGCCCUAAACGAAAGCACACGCGACGGACGCCACCCGGCCAGCGGCCGCCGCUCAUCGCUCCCUCCGCCCGCGGCGCGAGAGCCGGCCCGACCCCCCGCGACCCGGACGCCGCCGCUGGAGGCGACCAGCUGCCAGGGAGCGCGGCCGGCCCGGUCUCCCCGCGCGGCGGCGGCGGACGGACGACGAGUGUUCCUUCCUCUGUUUCUUGGCUGACGGCAGAGGAGAGGAGAGGGGCGGCGAUGUGGGGUGCCAAGGGGGAGGAGAAGGCCGGCGGCGCCUGCGAGGAAUGGAGCUACCAGCUGGGGAACAAGGUGAGAUUCGUACAAUCUCUCGUAUGGAUCCCUCUGGGCGAAUGCUCUCCGCCUUCCUUCGAUUGAGGCAGGGGUUCUUUUGGGUGGCGUUGUUUUCCCUGCGAGUUCGUUCCGGGCGUCAUCUCAGCUGCCCCUUCCGGCGCAGCUCAUCCGGUUUGGUGGUUGAUGCUUCUUUCAUCGCUUUCCUUCCACGCCGCGCCUCCAAACUUCAAACACGGCGGAUCUCGUCUCGUCAGCUCCGAAAUCCAAAAGAGAUGUUGCGCCGGGCGAUGCGGCCAGAUCCAGAAUCCAAAAUACUUUUUCCAUUCUCCUCCUUUUUGUUUACUUAGUGGAGUGCAGCACUACAGUACUACUUCACAUAGUAUAACACUUAGCUUUUUCUCCGACAUUCCGUUUCUUCUUUUUGGUCCAAGUUUUCUUACUAGUACAGUAGUAUAGUACAUCUUGUUCCAUUCAAUACAGUUAUGGAGCGUACUUGAUCCGAACGUUUUUGUUGGUGAACAAGUUAGGAGGUCUGUAGUACUUCUCUUGUUUAAUUUCCGUAUUCAUUGCACAGGUUAGGAGUAGUUCGGCUGGCUGAACUAGGUACUAGCGUUUAUUUUGCUAUCCAUGGCUGCCCAUUCCUACUUUUAGGUCUGAUCUGAUUGUUCUUUGGGAUUCUUUUUUUGUUUGGAAAACUGCGUGCUCUGAUGUUGCUGCUUGUUUUCCACUCCUAAAUUUUAGUAGCUCACUGCAUUUUCUAUUUCGAUAGUGAACUCUUUUUUCUUAGAUUAAUCUUCAGUGUAGUAACGCAGUUUCAGGAACAUUCAAGAGCACACAGCAAAGGCGAUCUUUGCUUCCUUGUUAUAUUGUUCCAUUAUUGUUGGCGAAGGAACGCAAUCAUAGACAGUACAUGGACCAUUUAACCUCAACACAAGCGGGCUGAAGGACAAAGCUCAAGACCUGAUAGUACAUUGAGUGAUCUAGUAAAGUUUGUUUAAAACCGUUUUACAGCCAGGUGUAAUCGAAUCACAGACUCUCUGUCCCUGAAAUUAGCACAGUUACCGAUCCUUGUCAAUCUCGGCGAGUCGACCCUGGUAUGCGAAUUGCGAAACAAGUUUUACUCCUAUAAGGGCCGGAUUGACCGGGUCAGGAAGUACACCCUGCUAGUUUCAGGAAUUGGGAGUUCAGGUUUAAAACAGAUUUUACUCUAGUAGAUUUUGUUCAGUUUUUUAUCAAGCCUAAAUUAAUGUUCUCCGAGGUCAUCAUUUUUGUUUAUUGUGACUAUAUUCCUUAUUCCUCUGAAGGAUAGAGUUAAGGAUAGUUUAAUUUGUUUAAAACUUGGGCUGAUUGCAACUUAUUUACAGGAUACGCUGAGUUUGAAACCUCCAAAGAAGUCACCCCUCGCGUUGAGAAUGGUUGUUCUCACCAUGACUAUGAUCUGUGGGGUGUUUAUUUGCUCAAUGUGUAUGAAGCAACUAGGAAGCGACAGCUGGUCAAGGAUAGUGAAGAUUCAAGUUGCAGAACAGUCCUGCAAUAAGUCUUUAAUUCCUCCUUCUGAGGUUCAGUUUGUGCAUUAUCCACAACCACUAAAUUACAGCAGGAAAGAAUGCAUCUGUACCCCUGUCCGCUUCUUUGCAAUUAUCUCAUCGCAGCGGUCUGGAAGCGGCUGGUUCGAAACCCUUCUAAACAGUCACAUAAAUGUUAGCUCUAAUGGAGAAAUCUUCUCGAAGAAAGAAAGGAGGAGUAAUGUUUCAUCUAUAAUAAAGACAAUGGACAUGGUGUAUAACUUGGAUUGGAAUAGUAGUGCUUCCAAGAAUGAGUGCACUGCUGCUGCUGGCUUCAAAUGGAUGCUUAAUCAGGGUCUCGUGGCAAAUCACGCUGCUGUGGUUGAUUACUUCAACCAAAGAGGAGUGUCUGUGAUAUUUCUGUUCAGAAGGAAUCUCCUCCGUCAGAUGGUAUCGCAACUAGCAAACAAUCAUGACAGAUACCUUAAGCAAUUAAAAGGAAAACACAAGGCCCAUGUGCACACAAAAGAUGAGGCGAAUAUACUUGCAAAAUACAAGCCCAGGCUCAACACAACAACAUUAUUGUGGAGUCUGAAACAGGCAGAUGAUUACACUUGCAAAGCUCUUGAAAACCUAAAGAGCGUCCGUCACAUUACAUUGUACUAUGAGGAUCUCAUCCAAAACAGAACUAUGCUUGUUGAGGUGCUGGAUUUCCUCAAAGUGCCAGCGAGGAAACUAGUCAGCCGGCAUGUGAAGAUACACACGAAACCACUGUCGGAUCAAAUUGAAAACUGGGAUGAAGUCUAUAAUGCCCUGAAUGGCACCAAGUUUGAAAGUUUCUUGAAUGCUGACUACCGAACAUGACAUUAUUCUGUCUGCACGUUUCUUGUUUAAUAUUGGUUCCUGUGUGUUUCUUUCUUUCUUUCUUUAUUUAUUUAGUUCUUUCUUUCUUAUUAAAAAGCUAGCCUAGGACGUGUCCGGAAAAAGUUUUGACAUGGGGAAUGGCGGGGUUUGCACGGUGGUUCACAAAUCGCAAGUUCUUUGAUAGGUUCCACUAAUUGUCUUGCUUGUUCUUUUCAUAUAUUUUUUUCUUCGAAACUGAUCAACGAGCUUCUAACCUCUUGCAUUCCACUGCUUAUUAUCACUUCUGCAGUCUUGCACAGAGUUUUUUUUUUUUUUACGAUUCUCCCUUGCAUGGAUGGAUAUCUCUAGCAGGUUCACAUUAGGGAGGUUUUUGACGCUGAUUCGUCUCUUUUCGACUUUUCCCAUGUUAAUUUAGACAUGCUGAAAUCUAAGUGAGCCGCUUCACUAAGUCCACUUCUGAGAAAUACAAUGCAAGUACAAAUCAUUCAAAAGAGGAAGUACAAGUACAAUGUAGGCCUGAAUAUUCCAGUGUAAAUAAGGCACACAUGGUGUCAGAUUAGGUGUUUGAUCCCUGUUGUGCUGGGCUGGAGGUACAGCAAGCUCCUAACCGUUGGACCCUGAUAUCCAACCAACGACUGGUUCUUGAUAUUUAGGACAUGUUUGGUUCAUGACUAAUUUGCUACAACUAAUCUUAGGCUAAACUGUGGCCGCCACAAAAAGCAUGGUGAACAAAAUGGCCACAAAAAGCAUGGUGUAUCUUGUUGUAUGUAAAGGAGUUCUUAUUUAGUUGGUUUCAAGAUCAUACUACUUGCAUUUUAACAUUGUAGCCUAUCCGUGGCAUGAACUAACUACAACCAUAUUUUUUUC
RNAcentral lists this ribosomal RNA (3676 nucleotides) under Triticum aestivum (bread wheat). RNAcentral describes it as "partial small subunit ribosomal RNA". The record is from RNAcentral. Lineage: Eukaryota; Viridiplantae; Streptophyta; Magnoliopsida; Poales; Poaceae.